UUCUGUGUAGUAAUAUUGUAGUUCUAAAAAUAGAAAACCAAAAAUAGACAAUUCUUCUUUCUAUUUAGCAAUACACCAUAGAUCUAAAGCCUAUCACCGUCUGUAUUAUCUAAGUCCUCAGAAAAUGUAGAUGAGAAUGGAAUUGUAAGACAAUCAAAGAAAAUGAAAAAAAGAACAAGAACAGCUUAACUGCAAGAAAAGAUCACAACUGUAUCUCACUUCAGUUCCAGGUGAUGUUGACUAUCAAGUUAAAUGCUUUAACCGAGGCUCCUGUCGAUAACGAAUCAACCAAAAAGGCUGUUUUCCGAAAAAUGAAAGGGACAUCUGCCCAAAAAAAGGAUGACAAUGAAAAAACUAAAGAAUUUAUUGGCCAUGUUAUAGGCGAACUAAAUAAAACAAAUGUUAACAAGGCAAUUCAUGGGAAAGUUUUGAGGCCUUUUGGAAGACAAUAGAGACAAUGCAGCCAGACGAUUCAAGUGAACGAUAAGAAGAACAGGAUUGUGACAAAAUUAAACUUACUUACUCAUAAAACAUAGUUACAUUUACAUGGAGUAAGAUUAUUAAGUCCUCUACUCUGCUAUUGGCAUACCCACCAAGGAAAUGGUAUUUCAUGCCCAGGAAAAACCUGAAAAUGACAAAAUGUUAUUGAGUUUGAAUUUAUGAUUUAU
Long non-coding RNA from Mytilus trossulus (common blue mussel), 668 nucleotides. RefSeq lists it as uncharacterized. NCBI's taxonomy places the organism in Eukaryota, Metazoa, Mollusca, Bivalvia, Mytilida, Mytilidae. The record is from RefSeq and is a predicted model, not a curated record. The transcript has 6 exons.